UGGCUCUCAAAACCCCACCACAGCCCCCUCCCAGGUCCAGCUGCCCUGGCCUCCACCCUGCUCUCCAAUUUAGCCACCAGAAAGCUGCUCCACGACUGGGCCAUGCGCAUUGGCCAUGAAUUAUUCAGGCCUCAUUUGGCUGGAGCCAGGGUAGAUAUUGGGGCUGGAGGAGAGUUUGGGCCAUGCGGUCUGUGCCAUUUGGAGGGCACGUGGAGGAAGCAUGUGGAACACAGAGUUGUCUCUGUCUUCAUCUCCAUUCAAGCUGACACCCACGUCCUGUUGGAUCCAGAGUGAUCUGCCCAUUGUGAGCCCAGGGGAGCAGAGGAUGCCUCGGGGUGAGAGCUCCCCAACCUUCAAGCGCAGAGACCUGCACAGAGCAUACCAUCGGUGCUCAGGACAGCGGGCUGAUUGGCAGGCUGGCCUACAUCAAUCAACAAGAGGAUGACACAUUUCAUAUAAGGGGCAGAGGACAAAACUCUGGAGUCAGACAGCUUAGGUGUAAAUCCUGACCCUUCUACUUUACAGCUGACUAAGCUUGGGCAAGUUACUUAAUCUUCCUGUGCUGAAGGUUCUUCACCUGUAAGAUGGGGAGAGCGAUGGCUUCUGCCUCACAGGGCUGCUGUGCACAGAGCAAUGGAGAUCAGACGUCUACAGUGCUGGGGUGGAAUGAGUGCUCAACCUCCAGACCACACUGGAUUGUCAUUGCUUGGUUGGUUGUUUGCCUUUCUCAUCAUCCUGGGAGAUUUUUAAAGAAGUUACAGGCCCGCCCAGCCCAUCUCCUCAAGGCACUCCUGUGAGCUGAGAAGGACAAGCACAUCCUUUC
Molecule: long non-coding RNA, 823 nt
Filed under: Homo sapiens (human)
Lineage: Eukaryota; Metazoa; Chordata; Mammalia; Primates; Hominidae
Description: HSALNT0239672
Source: RNAcentral